This 426-nucleotide ribosomal RNA is filed under the name uncultured Oscillospiraceae bacterium. RNAcentral's name for it is "bacterial SSU rRNA". It matches the Rfam family "Bacterial small subunit ribosomal RNA", at positions 355 to 794 of the family's 1533-position model. Lineage: Bacteria; Bacillati; Bacillota; Clostridia; Eubacteriales; Oscillospiraceae. The record is from RNAcentral.
UGGGGAAUAUUGGGGCAAUGGACGAAAGUCUGACCCAGCGACGCCGCGUGAGGGAAGAAGGUCUUCGGAUUGUAAACCUUAGUCAACAGGGGAGAAGAAAGUGACGGUACCUGUGGAGGAAGCCACGGCUAACUACGUGCCAGCAGCCGCGGUAAUACGUAGGUGGCAAGCGUUAUCCGGAUUUACUGGGUGUAAAGGGCGCGUAGGCGGGGAUGCAAGUCAGAUGUGAAAUCUAUGGGCUUAACCCAUAAACUGCAUUUGAAACUGUAUCUCUUGAGUGCUGGAGAGGUAGACGGAAUUCCUUGUGUAGCGGUGAAAUGCGUAGAUAUAAGGAAGAACACCAGUGGCGAAGGCGGUCUACUGGACAGUAACUGACGCUGAGGCGCGAAAGCGUGGGGAGCAAACAGGAUUAGAUACCCUGGUAGU